This 465-nucleotide ribosomal RNA is filed under the name Vreelandella stevensii. RNAcentral's name for it is "partial 16S ribosomal RNA". It matches the Rfam family "Bacterial small subunit ribosomal RNA", at positions 338 to 795 of the family's 1533-position model. Lineage: Bacteria; Pseudomonadati; Pseudomonadota; Gammaproteobacteria; Oceanospirillales; Halomonadaceae. The record is from RNAcentral.
CCUACGGGCGGCUGCAGUGGGGAAUAUUGGACAAUGGGGGGAACCCUGAUCCAGCCAUGCCGCGUGUGUGAAGAAGGCCCUCGGGUUGUAAAGCACUUUCAGUGAGGAAGAACGCCUGGUGGUUAAUACCCAUCAGGAAAGACAUCACUCACAGAAGAAGCACCGGCUAACUCCGUGCCAGCAGCCGCGGUAAUACGGAGGGUGCGAGCGUUAAUCGGAAUUACUGGGCGUAAAGCGCGCGUAGGUGGCUUGAUAAGCCGGUUGUGAAAGCCCCGGGCUCAAUCUGGGAACGGCAUCCGGAACUGUCAAGCUAGAGUGCAGGAGAGGAAGGUAGAAUUCCCGGUGUAGCGGUGAAAUGCGUAGAGAUCGGGAGGAAUACCAGUGGCGAAGGCGGCCUUCUGGACUGACACUGACACUGAGGUGCGAAAGCGUGGGUAGCAAACAGGAUUAGAUACCCUGGUAGUC